RNAcentral lists this ribosomal RNA (465 nucleotides) under uncultured bacterium. RNAcentral's name for it is "partial 16S ribosomal RNA". It matches the Rfam family "Bacterial small subunit ribosomal RNA", at positions 28 to 507 of the family's 1533-position model. The record is from RNAcentral.
GACGAACGCUGGCGGCGUGCUUAACACAUGCAAGUCGUACGGUAAGGCCCUUUCGGGGGUACACGAGUGGCGAACGGGUGAGUAACACAUGAGUAACCUGCCCACAACUUUGGGAUAACGCUAGGAAACUGGUGCUAAUACUGGAUAUGUGCUCCUGCUGCAUGGUGGGGGUUGGAAAGCUCCGGCGGUUGUGGAUGGACUCGCGGCCUAUCAGCUUGUUGGUGGGGUAGUGGCCUACCAAGGCGGCGACGGGUAGCCGGCCUGAGAGGGUGACCGGCCACAUUGGGACUGAGAUACGGCCCAGACUCCUACGGGAGGCAGCAGUGGGGAAUAUUGCACAAUGGGCGCAAGCCUGAUGCAGCAACGCCGCGUGCGGGAUGACGGCCUUCGGGUUGUAAACCGCUUUCAGCAGGGACGAAGCUUUUUGUGACGGUACCUGCAGAAGAAGCACCGGCUAACUACGUG